Molecule: long non-coding RNA, 1041 nt
Filed under: Homo sapiens (human)
Lineage: Eukaryota; Metazoa; Chordata; Mammalia; Primates; Hominidae
Description: HSALNT0253533
Source: RNAcentral
UUCAUUUUCAUAGAAAAUUACUGCUGCAACACCUUACCACAGAAAUUAUGCAAAUUUAUUAUCUUACAGUUCUGGAGGCCAGAAUGUCUGCAAAAGUCUCCCUGAGCUGGAGUCUAGAUGUUAGUGAGUUGUGCCCCUUUCUGGAGGCUCCAGGGAAGAAGGUUUCCCUGUCUUCUCCAGCUUCCGGAGGCCAUUGCAUUCAUGGCUACAGCCCCUUCGUCCACCUCCAGGACCAGCCAGGCCUCUGUUGCUGCCUGUUCUCCCAUAGUCCCACCUCCCUGACCACAGCCAGGAGACAGUCUCUGUUUUUAAGGCACUUGUGGUUAGAUUGAGACUCCCGCAGAUAAGCCAGGAAAACCUUCCCACCACAAAGUCCUUAAUUUAAUCCCAUCUGCCAAGUCCCCCUGCCAUGGAAGAUGAUAUAAUUGAAGGUUUCAGGGUUUAGGAUGUGGACAUCUUUGGGGUCUAUUAUUCUGCCUAACACAAUAUGUGAGAGACUGAAUAGUGUACUGUUACUGUUUCAGUGUUUGACCUCAGUUAUACGUUUAAAGUGAAUAAAAAUUAAAACGUGUUUUAGAUUUACCUGUAUUUUACCAUUUCCAGAGCUUCAUUUCUUUGUGUAAUCCAAAUGACCGUUUGGCAUCACACUCCUGCCUGAAGAAUUUUAGCAUUUCAUGUACAGCAGAACUGCUGGUGCUGUGCUCUGCCUCGCCGGGAGCCCCACACAGGGAGGUGGAGUCCUGUGGGCGCUGCUUGCAGAGUGGAUCCUCAUUUCGUGGCUGGAACGUUUUGCGCAUUGUCCCUGUGUUUUGUAACUCUCCAGUGUCUUCAAGCAGUUAUCUUUAAAAUGUAUUUUUCCAGAGUUUUUCAUUGCUAUGAGCAAGUGCGUAAUUCUAUAGGAGCAAUGCUAGCAAUAGAGGGCACUAGAAGAAAAACUUGUUUUUGAUUUUGUCUCCAGAAGUCUCUGAAAAUUCCUUAGGACAUCCUUACAUUUAAGAUAUUUUGAAAUGUUAUUCUCUAUCAAGCUAAAAAAUGAACCAC